CCUANGGGGGGCAGCAGUGGGGAAUCUUGCACAAUGGGGGAAACCCUGAUGCAGCGACGCCGCGUGAGCGAUGAAGCCCUUCGGGGUGUAAAGCUCUUUCGGCAGGAACGAUAAUGACGGUACCUGCAGAAGAAGCUGCGGCUAACUACGUGCCAGCAGCCGCGGUAAUACGUAGGCAGCAAGCGUUGUUCGGAGUUACUGGGCGGAAAGAGUGUGUAGGCGGUUUGCCAAGUUCGGUGUGAAAUCUCCCGGCUUAACUGGGAGGGUGCGCCGAAAACUGGCAGGCUCGAGUGCGGGAGAGGAGAGCGGAAUUCCUGGUGUAGCGGUGAAAUGCGUAGAGAUCAGGAGGAACACCUGCGGUGUAGACGGCUCUCUGGACCGCAACUGACGCUGAGACACGAAAGCGUGGGUAGCAAACAGGAUUAGAUACCCCUNUANUC
Molecule: ribosomal RNA, 440 nt
Filed under: uncultured bacterium
Lineage: Bacteria
Description: bacterial SSU rRNA
Rfam family: Bacterial small subunit ribosomal RNA
Source: RNAcentral